This 395-nucleotide ribosomal RNA is filed under the name uncultured bacterium. RNAcentral describes it as "bacterial SSU rRNA". It matches the Rfam family "Bacterial small subunit ribosomal RNA", at positions 29 to 415 of the family's 1533-position model. The record is from RNAcentral.
AACGAACGCUGGCGGCGCGCCUAAUACAUGCAAGUCGAGCGAGAAGGUGUAGCAAUACACUUGUAAAGCGGCGAACGGGUGAGGAAUACAUGGGUGACCUACCAUUGAGUGGGGAAUAACCAGCCGAAAGGCUGGCUAAUACCGCGUACGCUUCCGGAUUUUCGAGUUCGGAAGGAAAGCGAUACCGUGGGUAUCGCGUUCUUUGAUGGGCUCAUGUCCUAUCAGCUUGUUGGAGGGUAACGGCCUACCAAGGCUUUGACGGGUAGCUGGUCUGAGAGGACGAUCAGCCACACUGGCACUGCGACACGGGCCAGACUCCUACGGGAGGCAGCAGUAAGGAAUAUUGCGCAAUGGGCGAAAGCCUGACGCAGCGACGCCGCGUGGGGGAUGAAGGU